ACAGUACGCUUGGAUGAAAUCUGACCUUGAAUCUGUCGGCACAUUCAGUACACCAUGGAUAGUUUUCACAGGUCAUCGACCUAUGUACUCCACUCAACUGCGGGGGAUUUAUUUCUAAACUUUACCAGGUGUGGAUCCGAAAUUUGUAGCAGCUGUGGAACCAUUGCUCUUGAGAAACAAGGUUGAUUUAGCAGUGUGGGGGCAUGUUCACAAUUACCUGCGAACUUGUGCUGUGUUUCAGGGCGCUGCCUGCAGCACCCGAUCAAG
Long non-coding RNA from Selaginella moellendorffii, 267 nucleotides. RefSeq lists it as uncharacterized. The record is from RefSeq and is a predicted model, not a curated record. Lineage: Eukaryota; Viridiplantae; Streptophyta; Lycopodiopsida; Selaginellales; Selaginellaceae. The transcript is spliced from 3 exons.